RNAcentral lists this ribosomal RNA (474 nucleotides) under uncultured bacterium. Its description in RNAcentral is "bacterial SSU rRNA". It matches the Rfam family "Bacterial small subunit ribosomal RNA", at positions 43 to 524 of the family's 1533-position model. The record is from RNAcentral.
CAGGCCUAACACAUGCAAGUCGAACGGUGGCAGCAAUGUCAUAGUGGCGCACGGGUGCGUAACACGUAGCUAACCUACCCAGAACUGGGGGAUAGCCCGCCGAAAGGCGGAUUAACACCGCAUAACAUCUACUGGUGGCAUCACUAGUUGAUUAAAUCUACGGAGGUUCUGGAUGGGGCUGCGGGUCAUUAGCUAGUUGGUAAGGUAACGGCUUACCAAGGCGACGAUGACUAGGGGAGCUGAGAGGCUGGUCCCCCACGCGGGCACUGAGAUACGGGCCCGACUCCUACGGGAGGCAGCAGUAGGGAAUAUUGGGCAAUGGGCGAGAGCCUGACCCAGCCAUGCCGCGUGCAGGAAGAAGGCUUUCUGAGUCGUAAACUGCUUUUGAUAGGGAAGAAUAAGCACUACGUGUAGUGUGAUGACGGUACCUACAGAAUAAGCACCGGCUAACUCCGUGCCAGCAGCCGCGGUAAU